UUGCUUGCUCAGCAGCACAUAUACUAAAUUUAGAGCAAUACAGAGAACCUUAACAUGGUCCCUGUGAAGAUGGUACUCAAAUUCAUGAAGCAUUCUGUAUUUUA
Molecule: small nuclear RNA, 104 nt
Organism: Peromyscus maniculatus bairdii (prairie deer mouse)
Lineage: Eukaryota; Metazoa; Chordata; Mammalia; Rodentia; Cricetidae
Source: Ensembl